Molecule: transfer RNA, 72 nt
Filed under: Ictidomys tridecemlineatus (thirteen-lined ground squirrel)
Lineage: Eukaryota; Metazoa; Chordata; Mammalia; Rodentia; Sciuridae
Description: Spermophilus tridecemlineatus (thirteen-lined ground squirrel) tRNA
Rfam family: tRNA
About the family: Transfer RNA (tRNA) molecules are approximately 80 nucleotides in length. Their secondary structure includes four short double-helical elements and three loops (D, anti-codon, and T loops).
Source: Rfam by way of RNAcentral
GGGGAUGUAGUUCAGGGGUAGAACAUUUGCCUAGCAAGUAUGAGGCCCUGGAUUCAAUGCCCAGUACCGCCA